Molecule: transfer RNA, 97 nt
Filed under: Enterobacter cloacae
Lineage: Bacteria; Pseudomonadati; Pseudomonadota; Gammaproteobacteria; Enterobacterales; Enterobacteriaceae
Description: tRNA-Gly(tcc)
Source: RNAcentral
GCAGUUUUGGCAGACGGUCAAACACCGUCGGGCGACCUUCCGGGUCGUUGCGGGUGCACAGCUCGCCUUCCGGCUUGUAGUAAGCCAGCACGCGGCA